ACGUGGUUUUGGGGUUUUCAGGUGGUACGUGUGCAGCGCGGUGGCGCGAGGGGAGGGCGUAGUUCAGUAGAUAGCGCCCUACCACAGAGACCGAGGUAGCAGUACCCUGAGGCAGUCUAGCUUAGGGGGCUAGAAGACAAGAAAAGAAAAUGUAUCAAACUUGUAAAUUAAAUGAUGUAAUAAUUAGAUUGUAAUUUGGAGGUAAAAUGUAACUGAGAUGUAUUAAGUGAAUGCGAAUGACUGCUUGUAAUAGCUAUUAGUUUUAUAUAUUUGAUACUUCCUUAUGCAAUCUGGAUUGAUAUCCGUUCCUGGUUGGAACAUUCGUUGAUUGUUUGGAUUGCGACGCCUUGGACGUACUGGGGAGACUCUGUCCGCGUACAAAGGAAUCCCCGGUC
RNAcentral lists this long non-coding RNA (395 nucleotides) under Ananas comosus (pineapple). RNAcentral describes it as "long non-coding RNA (ACOM_LNC034637)". Lineage: Eukaryota; Viridiplantae; Streptophyta; Magnoliopsida; Poales; Bromeliaceae. The record is from RNAcentral.